Molecule: long non-coding RNA, 5963 nt
Organism: Bombus huntii
Lineage: Eukaryota; Metazoa; Arthropoda; Insecta; Hymenoptera; Apidae
Exons: 2
Source: RefSeq, a predicted model, not a curated record
CCUCGUAAAAAAACACGUUUAGGUAUGAGCUUCUCAUACGUUUAUACUGAAAAGAACACGUUAGUUUUUCAUCUUUCUCUGUCUCUAAGUUUUCAACUUCUACAUUUCCAUUCGGCUUCUGUUCAAAGAUAAAUUAUGCACAUACAUGAAUUUUAAAGGAAACUUUUUGUCACUGUUUUGUAAGUAAAUUUUCGUUCUAAUACUUUCUAGGGAACAAAUCGCCUGCUCUUUUGAUUUGUUACUCUCCAACCAUAAAGUAUAACUUUUUUAAAUAGUCGUCGUGAUUUUUACGCUGAACAAGACAAAGAGCAAUGAUAAUUUCACUUAAAUUUGAGUUUACUCGGAACUACAGAGCUAAGUUUAUACGAAAGAUGAUGUAAUAUGUAUAACAUACAUAAAUAAUUUAAUAUUUUCAUAAAAUUCAUAAAAUACUUUCGAUUGUUUGCUCCUUUGGUUUAAGAUUCGAAGUUCUUAUUUCCUUCUUUGUUAUUUUCUUUUUUCUAUCUAUGAUGUAUUUCGCGCAUAAAUUAUUUAGGUAAACAACACCUGAAUACAAUUUUAUAUGCAUUUUAAAUUGAAACGAUGGAGAGACGUUUCCUCUCUUCCUUAUUAGAUUUUCAAUUUUCUUAUGUAAGUGUCUCUCCCUGUCUGUCUCUUUUCCUCUUCAAAAGAGUGCAGGUAAAUAAGGUGACAACAGUUACCUCACUAUGAAAAUUCUUGAACAACGACGCGCUUGAUGCGAUUAUAAUGCGGCAAUCGUUGUUCCUUGAGUAUACAAAUACAUACAGAUAUGUGACUGGAAAUAUUAUUCGAUUUCUAAUAUCAGUGGCCAUGAUGUUGCUAAUUCGAGCAGACUCGAGUAGCUGUGCAUGAAUAUUUAUUAAAAAAGAGAACGGUGUAUUUUCCUGUUUUAUAUCUGACAAUGAGUUAUAUCGUUGAUAGAAUAUAAAUAUGUAUUUUAAAAAAUAUGUUCCUCGCAAAGAUUAAUAUUCGGUUGGUAAAUGCUUGAGGGCGUAAAUGAAAUUUCUUACAAAGGAAAACAAUCUAAUUGCAAUCACGUUAUCGUAUCAUCUAGUUUUCUGUUAUAUUCUUAUUUUUAUUAUAUCUUAUUUUUCUGCUAUAUUUUAUGAAAUUGUCAUAAUUCGACCCAUCAUCUUCAAUUUAAACGGAAAAAAUGGUUUCCCAAAGCAUUAUAAGUAAAUACGUGAAGCAUAAAAUGAUAAUUUCUUGCGAUUGAACACGUUCAUCGUGUAUUUGUUCGCUCAGCUGAAUUCUUGAUACAAAAAGGCGAGAGGGAAAGCAAUUUCCUUUCGACUGUGUCACGCGAUGCAAAAGAGGGAGGAUUCUUCUUCCGAAAUUAUACUCUUUGUAGUCGUCUUUUCUCGAGCAAUCUUUUAUCGUCGAAAGCUGGAACAUUUCCAGCAAUAUACGUUCAUCCUAGAGAGCCUAUUGGAAACAUUAAUAUUUAAUCAACGGUAUUAACUCCUUCUGUGAAAAGAGCCGAGCUAUUUCUAGCAAUAAACGUUCGUUGUGAAGGUUCAUUCAGCGGUAUUAAUAUUUAAGUCACAGUAUAUCGAAAGAAACUCUUUUGUUCUAUAAAUAUUUAUCUCAUAAAAGAUUAUUGUCUUUUUAUACGUAUAUAGGAUAAAACUCUUUGAUUGAAUUUCCAUUAUAUUAUUAUCUGAAUGUUUUAAUUUUAAUCAAGUUAUACAGAAAUGAAAUGGAUGAAGAUGAAUUGAAGAUUUUUUGAUUUUUCACCACCUUAUCCUACCAUAAAAUGAUUAAUUAAUGGCACCAUAUAUAAUAAUUUUAAUAAUAGCAAUGAAAAAGAAAUGAAUUUUAAAAACUGUAUUAAGCAGAAUAAAAAUAAAGUUUUAUUGUUAUCUAUCGAAUUAUGAGUACUUAUUUGUCAAUUAUCAUCUAAGCUCUGAUCUAUGAAAUAAAGAUAGGAAAAAUAUGGGGUAAGUGUCAUUUUUUAAUACUACUUCGUAUUAUUAUCGGGAUAUUGGGUCAAAUCAAUAUAGGUAAUCCCAGUUUUCCGGUACAACGCGUUUGCAGAGUUAAUGGUCUCUCCGAAUUCUAUCUACAGCGGCUUAAGAGUUUCGCACUUUCUCGUUCUUUAAAAAUCCUCUAAUUGGUUCUUAAGCAUUUGCGUGUAAAAGCAAGCAAUCAGCAUAUUAUCUACAUACUUUAAUAAUUUUACUAUUUAAUUCAAUUCAUUCGGGAUUCAUCUCGCGUGGAAAUUAAAUUUAAACUAGUAAAUUAAAUAAAUUUCUAAAACUUUUCUUGAAGAUGUAGUCUUUCGAAUAUUAUGUUUGUUACAUAUAUGAAACUCAACUUUCACGUUUAAUUAUAUCUACCUAUUGAAUUUCGUAUAUUAUUCGAUCGUAUUAUCGAAUAUCGCGGUUGAAUACUUUUAGCGUUUUAACUCUUCUACGAUAAAAUUUCAUCAUUUUAAAAACUAAGAUUAUAUUAUGCGUAUUUUAAAAGAGUCAGCGGUGGAUUUGUCUCGAGUUUCGACAGUUUGGCUUUAAGUUGACCCGGGAACGGCAGGGACGAAACGCAAGAGCGAUGCACGAAGCCACAGAAAGCGGGGUUCCCGGUGAGAAAUCGAUCGGACGGUCUUUGCCUUGAGGGUGUUGGCCGAGUGCGGCGUUUAUGGCUACGUGGAUGCACCGUCACCGUCACCGUCACGGCGAACCUCCUGAACCGGUCAUCCGGUUGAAUCAUUCCGUCUGGUUAAAAGGAAAAGCGUGCAGCCACAUUGCCACGCCGAUGCUCGACGAAAGUAAAAAUGGUCUCGACACGACGAUGGGCUUUUGUCUACUAGAAGCGAUGUCUCAAGAAUUUUUAUCGGAGCUACAAAAUAGCUGUUUGAUAGCUGUUUUUUAACGUUGACUGUCGUGUUGAGUUUUACUCAGUUUUUUCGAACCAUUGAAAUAAUAUAAAUUAUUCGGACCAACAAACUUUUAAUAACGCGAACAAAUUGGAUGAAGCGCGAGUUGGAAAACAGUGCGCAAACGCGAUAUAAUAUUUUGUAAAAAUUGGAUGUUGCUACAUAGUACAUUUCGAUCUGUUGCGGCUAAUAAUAAAAUUAGCGUGAAGGUUAAAUUAAGUGAGAUGUCAAAGUAAAUUUAUAAAUAACGAUAAACAAAAGAAAGUUUUAAAAUUCAUAUUUGUGUACAAUAACUACACUACGUUAAUAGUAACUUUGUACUAAAUUCUUUUUACCAUAUUGAUAACAGUUACUUAUUAUACAGUCCUGGAGAUAUGUAUUACAUCUGUUCAUAGUUGAAUUGUUUUUGUCAAAUGUAAUUCCGUUUUCUAAAAUUCUGAUGUUCUUUAUACCUUAUCCUUUAAACUUUCUUUUGCCCUCCACUGUAAUAAUUUGUGCAAAAAAUAUGCCCGUAAAUUGACCAAGUUUAAUAAUUAUUUUAUUAGAUUUCGCGGCUGUUUCCAUUAUUCUUGAUUUUUGUUAUAAUUGAAAAACAUUAUUAUUGAAUUUUUGUUGAAUAUUAGAAACUUUUUGACGCGUUACUUUUAUCACCACUCUGACAUAAAUUGUUCAUUAAUUUUCUAUCUAAAACGAUUAAUUGAUGGCUGAGAUAAAUAAUCGUAGCUUAAUGUAACAUCCUCAAUACCAUUUUCUGCGCAAACAAUUCAGGAAUUGGAGGCAGACCAAGGAUCGAAAUUGGAUGGAGUUGAGUAAAUAUUCGAGUAUGUCUCUACGUAUGAAUUAUGCACAUGAAAAGCAUAUUGAGCUCUCCAACGUAACAUAACGAAAGAAGAAAUGGGACUGUUCAAUUUACAUACUGUUUAAUGCGGAAUAAGUAUUAAUCUGGUAAUAAAGCAGGGGCAGUACAGAGGUCUUUGACCAUUUAAAGCAAUUCGUAGAAGCCUCAACGACAUACAUAGUUACUUUUUCGUUUAAAGAAAAAUUUAGAUGAAUAUAUUGUACAUAAUAACAUGCAGAAAUUCUUUAUUUUUUACGAAUGGUUAAAAUGUACAUGUCGAAUAUUAUUUUACUUAAAUAAAACUGAAAUAAAAUUUAUUUAAACGUUUGUUCGAUUGUAUGUCGCAUAAAAUUAAAGAUAUCGAAUUUAGAAAUAUAUUACUUUUUUGCAAGAUCCAAUUUCCGCUUUAAGAUUGAGCUGAAUUACUCUUGUAGGUGUAAUAAAAGUUACAGAAACUCCAGUGGAAAAGAUGAAACAACUUGCACGAUUAAUCCGCGCUAAUGGAAGGACGAACGUUUCAGACACUUCGAUCAGUUUCAAACCAAGAACGAUAAGUUAUUGGUUCUGUACGGGAUAUCGACAAUAAGUGCCCUCAACAAUGGAACUGCUUUUAACAGGGUUAUAACAACUUACCGCGAAUUGGACGCAGUAUAAUGCGACAGCAAAGUAACUUAAUUACACAAAAUUUCCACGAAAUAUCAUAUUAAUUCUUGGAACUAUUAAAAUUUCGAUCUUUUCGUAGUCUUGAAAUUUUAAUCGUCUUCGAACGAAAGAGAAAAACAGGGACAAAUCAAUCAUUCGCUAUUCACAACUAAUAACUACAGCUUUUAAUUGUUUUAGUACACAACGUAAUAUUUCUACGUAGGUUUGAUUCUAGUUCGUCAAAACUUUAUCUGAUUUAUACGAAUGAUUCGGAAGUCAACGUAUAUCUGAUUUUUAUUAAAAGAACGAGAAGAAAAGAGAAUAGCAAUUUGUUACUCAUUAUCGAAAAUCUAGAAGAAAAUUUAAUUUAUCGCAGGGUUCUCGAACGAAGUCGGUGUAUAUUAUAUGCUUGAUUCAGUAAUAGAAAACUAAUCGAGUGCAUCCAUUUAAGCCAGAUGCACGGAGCAAUGUGUCAUGGUGGAGUGCAACGACCGAGCACUGUAUCAUCGACAAAUCGAGUGGAUCCACGUCGAUUAGAAAUUCGCGAGAAAUCGCGCAGACAGGACCAACCUCUGAAACGUUUGCAAUUUCCUUUCUGCAGUGUUCGCGUUGCCUGUUCAAGAGUAAGGUCACAGGAGGAAGUUCAGCGAUUCGAAAUUAAUGAAAUAUCUGCGAGAAUUAUAGAGUUUGCCGAGGGUUACGAUUCUCUUUCUACAAAUGUUUGCGCUGUAUCUUCUUUCCAGAAACUUCGUUCUGCUGGCACGCAGAAUUGAAGGGAUGUGUGUCUUUCGAGUCUAAUGUUAGAGUUUCGUUUUCGUAUAAUGCGAAGUAUAAACGUUCGAAACGAAAGCUUCUGCACAAAGAGCAUAACUUUAAAUUAAAAUAUCGAAUCCUAGAUUUAAUGGAAACUUUUGUUACACAUUUGCGUCGUUCGAUUGUUUCACUUUAACGCGACUAUUCUUAACUUUGAGUGUUAUAGACAGAUCAUCGAUACCAUAUAAAUUUUUAUUUCUUAUUUUCGUCGUUUAAUUUCCUUCCGUUUUAAUACCGUAUAAAAUGAUUUCAAUAUGAUUAUAGUACGAUAAUAACGUGGUAACUGUUGCUUCAUAUUUUGAUUACUUAAUUCGAUUUUAGUACAUACUGAUAAACUAGCGCAUAAUAAACUGAAAGCAAUAACAUUCUGUACGUAUCAAAGCUAUUAAAACAAGAAAAAUUCAUCCGCAAAUAAAAUCGUUUGCAUAGAAAUUGAGAGUUUAAAUUAAAAUCGAUAGGGAAAUCAUUUUAGGGGACGUGGAUAGAUUUACAACACGAGUAAAACGAUUCUGGCGUGUUACUUAAUUAAUUCAUUUUAUUGCGAAUUUAUUAGCGAAUUUAUUAGCGAAGUAGGAGAUUACGACAAGUACAAUAGUUUUGUUGUAUUUGCGGUGGUUAGAAUUUUUCAAUCUCUCUCUUGAAUAAUAGUUUAAUAAUUUACCUACGCAAAUCCAACAAUACUUUAGAACGAAACUAGAUUAUAAAUUUAACAUAACGUAAUUUGUUGAUCUCUGAAGAUUUGGUUUUUAAAUAAAAUUUAUAAUUGUUAAAAAA